AGAACGAACGCUGGCGGCAUGCCUAACACAUGCAAGUCGAACGCUUCCGGGGCUUCGGUCGCGGAGGAGUGGCGCACGGGUGAGUAACACGUGGACAAUUUGCCGUUGAGUCUGGGAUAACCCGUCGAAAAGACGAGCUAAUACCGGAUAAGACCACAGGAAGUUCGCUUCCCGAGGUAAAAGAUGGCCUCUGCUCCUGCAAGCUAUCACUCAUCGAGAAGUUCGCGGCCUAUCAGCUAGUUGGUGAGGUAACGGCCCACCAAGGCUAAGACGGGUA
RNAcentral lists this ribosomal RNA (277 nucleotides) under uncultured bacterium. RNAcentral describes it as "partial small subunit ribosomal RNA". It matches the Rfam family "Bacterial small subunit ribosomal RNA", at positions 26 to 285 of the family's 1533-position model. The record is from RNAcentral.